This 253-nucleotide ribosomal RNA is filed under the name uncultured bacterium. Its description in RNAcentral is "partial 16S ribosomal RNA". It matches the Rfam family "Bacterial small subunit ribosomal RNA", at positions 524 to 776 of the family's 1533-position model. The record is from RNAcentral.
UACGUAGGUGGCGAGCGUUGUCCGGAUUUACUGGGCGUAAAGCGCGCGCAGGCGGGCCGGUCAGUCCGGGGUGAAAUCUCACGGCUCAACCGUGAGGGGUCCUCGGAUACUGCCGGUCUUGAGGUGCCUAGAGGAGAGUGGAAUUCCCGGUGUAGUGGUGGAAUGCGUAGAUAUCGGGAGGAACACCAGUGGCGAAAGCGGCUCUCUGGGGGCGACCUGACGCUGAGGCGCGAAAGCGUGGGGAGCGAACCGG